RNAcentral lists this ribosomal RNA (427 nucleotides) under uncultured prokaryote. RNAcentral describes it as "bacterial SSU rRNA". It matches the Rfam family "Bacterial small subunit ribosomal RNA", at positions 355 to 796 of the family's 1533-position model. The record is from RNAcentral.
UGGGGAAUUUUCCGCAAUGGGCGAAAGCCUGACGGAGCAAGACCGCGUGGGGGAGGAAAGCCUUUGGGUUGUAAACCCCUUUUCUCAGGGAAGAAGAAAGUGACGGUACCUGAGGAAUCAGCCUCGGCUAACUCCGUGCCAGCAGCCGCGGUAAUACGGAGGAGGCAAGCGUUAUCCGGAAUGAUUGGGCGUAAAGCGUCCGCAGGUGGCUCGUCAAGUCUGCUGUUAAAUCCAGUAGCUUAACUACUGAGGGGCAGUGGAAACUGAAGAGCUAGAGUGCGGUAGGGGCAGAGGGAAUUCCUGGUGUAGCGGUGAAAUGCGUAGAGAUCAGGAAGAACACCGGUGGCGAAAGCGCUCUGCUGGGCCGCAACUGACACUCAGGGACGAAAGCUAGGGGAGCGAAUGGGAUUAGAUACCCCCGUAGUCC